RNAcentral lists this ribosomal RNA (812 nucleotides) under Ignatzschineria sp. NML 96-0243. Its description in RNAcentral is "bacterial LSU rRNA". It matches the Rfam family "Bacterial large subunit ribosomal RNA", at positions 1112 to 1907 of the family's 2925-position model. Lineage: Bacteria; Pseudomonadati; Pseudomonadota; Gammaproteobacteria; Cardiobacteriales; Ignatzschineriaceae. The record is from RNAcentral.
AGCAGCCAUCAUUUAAAGAAAGCGUAAUAGCUCACUAGUCGAGUCGGCCUGCGCGGAAGAUUUAGCGGGGCUAAAGCGAUAUACCGAAGCUGCGGAUGUAUAUUAUAGAAUAUAUGUGGUAGGGGAGCGUUCUGUAAGCCUGUGAAGGUGGACUCGUAAGAGCUGCUGGAGGUAUCAGAAGUGCGAAUGUUGACAUAAGUAACGUUAAUGCGAGUGAAAGACUCGCACGCCGAAAGACCAAGGUUUCCUGUUCAACGUUAAUCGGAGCAGGGUGAGUCGGCCCCUAAGACGAGGCAGAGAUGCGUAGUCGAUGGGAAUCAGGUUAAUAUUCCUGAACUCUCGUAUCAUGCGAUGGAGGGACGGAGAAAGCUAGACCAGCUGGUGAUUGGUAUGCCAGUGUAAGCAAGUAGGUAGAGAUCUUAGGCAAAUCCGGGAUCUUAAUACUGAGAUGUGAAUGCGAGGAGCUUACGAGCUCCGGAGUGGUUGAUGCUAUGCUUCCAAGAAAAGCUUCUAAGCAAUAGUGAUAUGAGAACCGUACCCCAAACCGACACUGGUGGUUGGGAUGAGAAUUCUAAGGCGCUUGAGAGAACUCGGGYGAAGGAACUCGGCAAAAUCGUACCGUAACUUCGGGAGAAGGUACACCUUCCUUGGUGAAUGCUUUACGCAGUAAGCUGAGGAAGGUCGCAGUGAAAAGCUGGCUGCAACUGUUUAUCAAAAACACAGGACUCUGCAAACACGAAAGUGGACGUAUAGGGUCUGACGCCUGCCCGGUGCUGGAAGGUUAAUUGAUGGGGUUAGCGUAAGCGAAGCUC